Molecule: ribosomal RNA, 263 nt
Filed under: uncultured archaeon
Lineage: Archaea
Description: partial 16S ribosomal RNA
Rfam family: Archaeal small subunit ribosomal RNA
Source: RNAcentral
AGUCACUGACAUUAGAUACCCGCGUAGUCCAGGGUGUAAACGCUGCAGACUUGGUGUUGGGGGCCCUUUGGGGGCAUUCAGUGCCGGAGAGAAGUUGUUAAGUCUGCUACUUGGGAGUACGUCCGCAAGGAUGAAACUUAAAGGAAUUGGCGGGGGAGCACCGCAACGGGAGGAGCGUGCGGUUUAAUUGGAUUCAACACCGUAAACUCACCAGGGAAGACUGUUACAUGAAGGCCGAGAUGAAGACUCUGCUAGAUUUUCAG